This 301-nucleotide ribosomal RNA is filed under the name uncultured bacterium. Its description in RNAcentral is "partial 16S ribosomal RNA". It matches the Rfam family "Bacterial small subunit ribosomal RNA", at positions 509 to 809 of the family's 1533-position model. The record is from RNAcentral.
CAGCCGCCGCGGGAAUACAGAGGGUGCGAGCGUUAAUCGGAUUUACUGGGCGUAAAGCGUGCGUAGGCGGCUUUUUAAGUCGGAUGUGAAAUCCCUGAGCUUAACUUAGGAAUUGCAUUCGAUACUGGGAAGCUAGAGUAUGGGAGAGGAUGGUAGAAUUCCAGGUGUAGCGGUGAAAUGCGUAGAGAUCUGGAGGAAUACCGAUGGCGAAGGCAGCCAUCUGGCCUAAUACUGACGCUGAGGUACGAAAGCAUGGGGAGCAAACAGGAUUAGAUACCCGCGUAGUCCCUGUCUCUUAUAU